AGAGUUUGAUCCUGGCUCAGAUUGAACGCUGGCGGCAUGCCUUACACAUGCAAGUCGAACGGUAACGCGGGGCAACCUGGCGACGAGUGGCGAACGGGUGAGUAACGCAUCGGAACGUGCCCAGUAGUGGGGGAUAGCCCGGCGAAAGCCGGAUUAAUACCGCAUACGACCUACGGGUGAAAGCGGGGGACCGUAAGGCCUCGCGCUAUUGGAGCGGCCGAUGUCAGAUUAGGUAGUUGGUGGGGUAAAAGCCUACCAAGCCGACGAUCUGUAGCUGGUCUGAGAGGACGACCAGCCACACUGGGACUGAGACACGGCCCAGACUCCUACGGGAGGCAGCAGUGGGGAAUUUUGGACAAUGGGCGCAAGCCUGAUCCAGCCAUGCCGCGUGCGGGAUGAAGGCCUUCGGGUUGUAAACCGCUUUUGUCAGGGAAGAAACGCUCCGGGCCAAUACCCUGNGGUAAUGACGGUACCUGAAGAAUAAGCACCGGCUAACUACGUGCCAGCAGCCGCGGUAAUACGUAGGGUGCAAGCGUUAAUCGGAAUUACUGGGCGUAAAGCGUGCGCAGGCGGUUNUGUAAGACAGAGGUGAAAUCCCCGGG
Molecule: ribosomal RNA, 602 nt
Filed under: uncultured freshwater bacterium
Lineage: Bacteria
Description: bacterial SSU rRNA
Rfam family: Bacterial small subunit ribosomal RNA
Source: RNAcentral